This 482-nucleotide ribosomal RNA is filed under the name uncultured bacterium. Its description in RNAcentral is "partial 16S ribosomal RNA". It matches the Rfam family "Bacterial small subunit ribosomal RNA", at positions 28 to 523 of the family's 1533-position model. The record is from RNAcentral.
GACGAACGCUGGAGGCGUGCUUAACACAUGCAAGUCGAACGAUGAAAUGGAGCUUGCUCCAUGGAUUAGUGGCGAACGGGUGAGUAACACGUGAAUAACCUGCCCUUAAUUUUGGAAUAACCCAGGGAAACCUGGGCUAAUACCGGAUAAGUAAACCUGUGGCAUCACAUGGUUUUGGAAAGUUUUUCGAUUAAGGACGGAUUCGCGGCCUAUCAGCUUGUUGGUGAGGUGAUGGCUCACCAAGGCGACGACGGGUAGCCGGCCUGAGAGGGUGAACGGCCACACUGGGACUGAGACACGGCCCAGAGUCCUACGGGAGGCAGCAGGGGGGAAUAUUGCGCAAGGGACGAAAGUCUGACGCAGCGACGCCUCGUGAGGGACGGAGGUCUUCGGAUGGUAAACCUCUUUCAGCAGGGACGAAGCGAAAGUGACGGUACCUGCAGAAGAAGCACCGGCUAACUAUGUGCCAGCCGCCGCGGUAA